This 465-nucleotide ribosomal RNA is filed under the name uncultured bacterium. Its description in RNAcentral is "partial 16S ribosomal RNA". It matches the Rfam family "Bacterial small subunit ribosomal RNA", at positions 338 to 795 of the family's 1533-position model. The record is from RNAcentral.
CCUACGGGAGGCAGCAGUAGGGAAUCUUCCACAAUGGGCGAAAGCCUGAUGGAGCAACGCCGCGUGGGUGAAGAAGGUCUUCGGGUCGUAAAACCCUGUUGUUAGAGAAGAAAGUGCUUGCGAGUAACUGUUCACGUUUCGACGGUAUCUACCCAGAAAGCCACGGCGAACUACGUGCCAGCAGCCGCGGUAAUACGUAGGUGGCAAGCGUUAUCCGGAUUUAUUGGGCGUAAAGGGAACGCAGGCGGGCGUUUAAGUCUGAUGUGAAAGCCUUGGGCUUAACCGGGGGAGUGCAUGGGAAACUGGGAGACUUGAGUGCAGGAGAGGCGAGUGGAAUUCCAGGUGUAGCGGUGAAAUGCGUAGAUAUAUGGAAGAACACCAGUGGCGAAAGCGGAUUGCUGGACUGUAACUGACGCUGAGGUGCGAAAGCGUGGGUAGCAAACAGGAUUAGAUACCCUUGUAGUC